Molecule: small nuclear RNA, 103 nt
Organism: Callithrix jacchus (white-tufted-ear marmoset)
Lineage: Eukaryota; Metazoa; Chordata; Mammalia; Primates; Cebidae
Source: Ensembl
GUGCUCCUUUGGCAGCAUAUGCACUAAAAUUGGAAUGAGACAGAGAUUAGCAUGGGGCCGGCACACGGACGCCAUGCAAAUUCAUGAAGCAUUCUAUGUUUUU